Molecule: ribosomal RNA, 497 nt
Filed under: uncultured bacterium
Lineage: Bacteria
Description: partial 16S ribosomal RNA
Rfam family: Bacterial small subunit ribosomal RNA
Source: RNAcentral
GAUGAACGCUGGCGGCGUGCCUAAUACAUGCAAGUCGAGCGAACAGAUAAGGAGCUUGCUCCUUUGACGUUAGCGGCGGACGGGUGAGUAACACGUGGGUAACCUACCUAUAAGACUGGAAUAACUCCGGGAAACCGGGGCUAAUGCCGGAUAACAUGUUGAACCGCAUGGUUCUACAGUGAAAGGCGGCUUUGCUGUCACUUAUAGAUGGACCCGCGCCGUAUUAGCUAGUUGGUGAGGUAACGGCUCACCAAGGCAACGAUACGUAGCCGACCUGAGAGGGUGAUCCGCCACACUGGAACUGAGACACGGUCCAGACCCCUACGGGAGGCAGCAGGAGGGAAUCUUCCGCAAUGGGCGAAAGCCUGACGGAGCAACGCCGCGUGAGUGAUGAAGGUCUUCGGAUCGUAAAACUCUGUUAUUAGGGAAGAACAAAUGCGUAAGUAACUGUGCGCGUCUUGACGGUACCUAAUCAGAAAGCCACGGCUAACUACGUG